RNAcentral lists this ribosomal RNA (218 nucleotides) under uncultured bacterium. RNAcentral describes it as "partial 16S ribosomal RNA". It matches the Rfam family "Bacterial small subunit ribosomal RNA", at positions 111 to 334 of the family's 1533-position model. The record is from RNAcentral.
UAAUGUAUGGGGAUCUGCCCGAUAGAGGGGGAUAACUACUGGAAACGGUGGCUAAUACCGCAUAAUGCUACGGACCAAAGCAGGGGCUCUUCGGACCUUGCACUAUCGGAUGAACCCAUAUGGGAUUAGCUAGUAGGUGGGGUAAAGGCUCACCAGGCGACGAUCUCUAGCUGGUCUGAGAGGAUGAUCAGCCACACUGGGACUGAGACACGGCCCAG